AGCUUGGAAAAGGAUCCUCAAUGGAUUGCACAACAAUCUUUUUGCAGCAUCAGAGGCAGGACGGGGCAGAGAAGGAGGUGGAUUAUUCUCCUCAGCACCAGCCUUUUGACAGCAUGAAUCCGGGGAAGGCCCAUCUGGAGGUGUGGCGUGACAAAGAUUGGCAGCGGCGGGCGGAGCAUGUCCUGUUUGCGGCAUCUGGUAUCUGGUUGCCAUGGUGAUGGUACACAAUGGAGGUGGACGUGCAUUGUGUCUAUGCGCAAUUACGUAAUUUGUGUGGACGCCGCUGUCAUUCUGGCGCGAAUGGCGAACUCGCAUUCACUCGUGACGGGUACAAGUAUGGGUGAUGGUGGUUAUGGCUGCUACUCUUGGCUCCUUACUCCAUUGUCCCAACCUGAUUCUCCUGCUGAACACAAUUAUAAUAAUGCACAUAAGUCCACGCGGAAUGUGAUAGAAAGAUGUUUUGGGGUGCUGAAAUCUAGGUUUCGGUGUCUGGAUAAGUCUGCAGGGCUUUUGUUGUAUAGUCCCUCAAAGGUGACUAGGAUUGUAUUCUGCUGCUGUUUUCUUCAUAACAUGUGUUUGCGCCAACAUCUGCCACAUGUUGUUGAUGAAGAAAACAGUCAGCAAGUAGGUGAGUUAGAAACAUCUGGCGACAGUAUGAGUACAGAUGUAGGGAGGCAGGUAAGGCAAGAAGUGAUUCUGCGUUAUUUUAACGGUAAGUAUUAUUUAGUCAUAAAUAACCUUGCCUAACCACUAUUAUAAAAUGUUUUA
Molecule: long non-coding RNA, 768 nt
Organism: Pseudophryne corroboree (corroboree frog)
Lineage: Eukaryota; Metazoa; Chordata; Amphibia; Anura; Myobatrachidae
Exons: 3
Source: RefSeq, a predicted model, not a curated record